This 327-nucleotide long non-coding RNA is filed under the name Gallus gallus (chicken). Lineage: Eukaryota; Metazoa; Chordata; Aves; Galliformes; Phasianidae. The record is from RNAcentral.
UUGCUUUGAAGGAGAUCAGGCACUCACCAGUCAGCAUGAACUGAUAGGCGUUGUCAGAGAUGGAGAAAAUGUGUGGAGGGGCCUCCUGGCGCUUUUUGCCUCGGUAGGCCAACACCACCUCCGGGUUGUACACCGGCAGCCACUUGUAGGGGUUGACAGUGACACAGAAGAGGCCCGAGUAGGUAUAGAUCAUCCAGGCUGCAUAACGCUCUUUGAGGUUGUACAGCACAGCGGGUUCGUGGAGGUGGGUCAUCAUGGCCAUGUCCUCAAUUUUAUCAUACUUGGGAGGGUUCAUGGAGAAGAUUUGAUCUUCCUUCACGGUUAGAG